RNAcentral lists this ribosomal RNA (253 nucleotides) under uncultured bacterium. RNAcentral describes it as "partial 16S ribosomal RNA". It matches the Rfam family "Bacterial small subunit ribosomal RNA", at positions 524 to 776 of the family's 1533-position model. The record is from RNAcentral.
UACGUAGGUGACAAGCGUUGUCCGGAUUUACUGGGCGUAAAGAGCGCGCAGGCGGUCGUUCAAGUCGAGUGUGAAAGCCCCCGGCUCAACUGGGGAGGGUCAUUCGAUACUGAUCGACUCGAAGGCAGGAGAGGGUAGUGGAAUUCCCGGUGUAGUGGUGAAAUGCGCAGAUAUCAGGAGGAACACCAAUUGCGAAGGCAGCUCGCUGGGACGUUACUGACGCUGAGACGCGAAAGCGUGGGGAGCAAACAGG